This 683-nucleotide ribosomal RNA is filed under the name uncultured eukaryote. Its description in RNAcentral is "SSU rRNA". It matches the Rfam family "Eukaryotic small subunit ribosomal RNA", at positions 628 to 1311 of the family's 1831-position model. The record is from RNAcentral.
UCGUAGUUGGAGUUCAGAGUGAGCUCAGCCGGUCGGCCUCAUGGGUCAGAACUGGUCGACUCUCUCUUGUUUGUGGAUCCCGCCCGGAGUUAACUCUUCGGGAUGUGGAGUUCACAUCGUUUACCUUGAAAAAAUUAGAGUGUUCAAAGCAGGCGUUUGCUUGAAUAUAUUAGCAUGGAAUAAUGGAAUAGGACCCUGGUUCUAUUUUGUUGGUUUUGAGAACCAGAGUAAUGAUUAAUAGGGAUAGUUGGGGGCAUUCAUAUUUCAUUGUCAGAGGUGAAAUUCUUGGAUUUAUGAAAGAUGAACUUCUGCGAAAGCAUUUGCCAAGGAUGUUUUCAUUAAUCAAGAACGAAAGUUAGGGGAUCGAAGACGAUCAGAUACCGUCGUAGUCUUAACCAUAAACUAUGCCGACUAGGGAUUGGGCGUAGGUUGUUCAUUGACCCGCUCAGCACCUUACGAGAAAUCAAAGUCUUUGGGGUUCCGGGGGGAGUAUGGUCGCAAGGCUCGAAACUUAAAGGAAUUGACGGAGGGGCACCACCAGGAGUGGAGCCUGCGGCUUUAAUUUGACUCAUCACGGGAAAACUUACCAGGUCCAGACAUAGUAAGGAUUGACAGAUUGAGAGCUCUUUCUUGAUUCUAUGGGUGGUGGGUGCAUGGGCGAUUCUUAGCUGGGCGGAGUGAUG